ACUCCUACGGGAGGCAGCAGUGGGGAAUAUUGCACAAUGGGCGCAAGCCUGAUGCAGCCAUGCCGCGUGUAUGAAGAAGGCCUUCGGGUUGUAAAGUACUUUCAGCAGUGAGGAAGGCGGAGUCGUUAAUAGCGGCUUCGUUUGACGUUAGCUGCAGAAGAAGCACCGGCUAACUCCGUGCCAGCAGCCGCGGUAAUAC
RNAcentral lists this ribosomal RNA (199 nucleotides) under Vibrio sp. RNAcentral describes it as "16S ribosomal RNA". It matches the Rfam family "Bacterial small subunit ribosomal RNA", at positions 335 to 526 of the family's 1533-position model. The record is from RNAcentral. Lineage: Bacteria; Pseudomonadati; Pseudomonadota; Gammaproteobacteria; Vibrionales; Vibrionaceae.